UCCAAAGUCACAAAGCCCAUAGCUGUGAGAACGAAGGCCUCUUGAUUCUCAAUUCAUUCUAUUUCUUUUUUUCUUUUUCUUUUUUUGGUUUUUUGAGACAGGGUUUCUCUGUAAAGACUUGGCUGUCCUGGAACUCACUCUGUAGCCCAGGCUGGCCUCGAGCUCACAGAGAUCCACCUGCUUCUACCUCCUAAGUGCUGGGAUUAAAGGCGUGCACCUCCACUGCCCGGCUACUCUACCUACAAUAACCUUUUCAUUCUUCCAUUCAUAAACAUACUUACUGUGGCCGACGUUUUGCCAAGUUCUGACAGGCUAAGAUAAACAAUAAUUUGACUAUACAUUCCACCAAUUUAUCUUGACACACAGACUGUAAGGGCCAUGAAAGCAGGCUCGGUGGCUGUUCCGUUUCCACUCGGUCACCAGCGCCCGGCACAGGGAAGAAGACACCGAUCGGCAUUUGAUGGGGAAAAGGUAUGUGCGGUGUCUCCAAGCCUGAUGACUUCACCUGUGGAUUCCACUUCAUCUUCAUCCCAGGCAGGCUCGAAAGCAUCAGACAGGAAGGAACACCUGAAAAAGGUCUCUCACUCACUACGGACUGUUUGCCUACAGAGAGCAUUUCAAACGGUGACUGUGGGCUUACAGGCACUCAGACUGCUCAUUCCUAGGUGCACAGACUAGGGCUUUGGAUGUAGCCCAACAAUUUAGCAUUUGCCUACAAUGGUCCUUGGUUUAUUCCCAGAAAGGAGGGAAGAAGGGAAGAAAAUUACACUUGGCCUCUCA
Long non-coding RNA from Peromyscus eremicus (cactus mouse), 780 nucleotides. RefSeq lists it as uncharacterized. The record is from RefSeq and is a predicted model, not a curated record. The transcript is spliced from 2 exons. Lineage: Eukaryota; Metazoa; Chordata; Mammalia; Rodentia; Cricetidae.